RNAcentral lists this ribosomal RNA (328 nucleotides) under uncultured eukaryote. RNAcentral's name for it is "partial 18S ribosomal RNA". It matches the Rfam family "Eukaryotic small subunit ribosomal RNA", at positions 1470 to 1796 of the family's 1831-position model. The record is from RNAcentral.
CCCUUAGAUGUCCUGAGCCGCACGCGCGUUACACUGAUGCAUUCAACGAGCUUAUAACCUUGGCCGAGAGGCCUGGGCAAUCUUAUUAACGUGCAUCGUGAUAGGGAUAGAUUAUUGAAAUUAUUAAUCUUGAACGAGGAAUUCCUAGUAAACGCAGAUCAUCAAUCUGCAUUGAUUACGUCCCUGCCCUUUGUACACACCGCCCGUCGCACCUACCGAUUGGAUGGUCCGGUGAAGCCUCGGGAUUGUGGUUCUUGCCGCUUUAUUGUGGCGUGACCGCGAGAACUUGUCUAAACCUUAUCAUCUAGAGGAAGGUGAAGUCGUAACA